This 203-nucleotide unclassified non-coding RNA is filed under the name Hevea brasiliensis (rubber tree). The record is from RNAcentral. Lineage: Eukaryota; Viridiplantae; Streptophyta; Magnoliopsida; Malpighiales; Euphorbiaceae.
ACCAACAACAACGAGUUUCCUCUGGAGAGAACGAGGCGGAGAUGGAAGAAACCCAGCUUCUAUGGAAGAAAUCACCUCCUCUUCUUCUCCUUCUUCCUCUUCAUAUUCUUCUUCUCCUCGUUUCCCGUUUCUAUGAAACGGUACAAUCUCCUCGUGUAGCCUCAUGCCUCUCUAAACUCUGAGAAAUUCACCAAAUGGUUUCC